RNAcentral lists this ribosomal RNA (253 nucleotides) under uncultured bacterium. RNAcentral's name for it is "partial 16S ribosomal RNA". It matches the Rfam family "Bacterial small subunit ribosomal RNA", at positions 524 to 776 of the family's 1533-position model. The record is from RNAcentral.
UACGUAGGGGGCAAGCGUUGUCCGGAUUUAUUGGGCGUAAAGAGCGUGUAGGCGGCUAGAUAGGUCCGUUGUGAAAACUCGAGGCUCAACCUCGAGACGUCGAUGGAAACCAUCUAGCUAGAGUCCGGAAGAGGAGAAUGGAAUUCCUGGUGUAGCGGUGAAAUGCGCAGAUAUCAGGAAGAACACCCGUGGCGAAGGCGGCUCUCUGGGACGGUACUGACGCUGAGACGCGAAAGCGUGGGGAGCGAACAGG